CCGACGGUGAGGGGCGAAAGCUGGGGGAGCAAACCGGAUUAGAUACCCGGGUAGUCCCAGCCGUAAACGAUGUGCGUUAGGUGUAUCGGUGACCACGAGUCACCGAGGUGCCGAAGAGAAAUCGUGAAACGUACCGCCUGGGAAGUACGGUCGCAAGGCUGAAACUUAAAGGAAUUGGCGGGGGAGCACCACAACAGGUGGAGCUUGCGGUUUAAUCGGACUCAACGCCGGAAAACUCACCAGAUAAGACAGCUGAAUGAUAGUCGGGCUGAAGACUCUACUUGACUAGCUGAGAGGAGGUGCAUGGCCGUCGUCAGUUCGUACUGUGAAGCAUCCUGUUAAGUCAGGCAACGAGCGAGACCCACGCCAACAGUUGCU
This 378-nucleotide ribosomal RNA is filed under the name uncultured archaeon. RNAcentral's name for it is "bacterial SSU rRNA". It matches the Rfam family "Archaeal small subunit ribosomal RNA", at positions 691 to 1068 of the family's 1478-position model. The record is from RNAcentral.